ACGGAAGGCAGCAGUGGGGAAUAUUGGGCAAUGGGGGAAACCCUGACCCAGCAACGCCGCGUGAAGGAAGAAGGCCUUCGGGUUGUAAACUUCUUUUACCAGGGACGAUAAUGACGGUACCUGGAGAAAAAGCAACGGCUAACUACGUGCCAGCAGCCGCGGGAAUACGUAGGUUGCAAGCGUUGUCCGGAUUUACUGGGUGUAAAGGGCGUGUAGGCGGAGCUGCAAGUCAGAUGUGAAAUCCCGGGGCUCAACCCCGGAACUGCAUCUGAAACUGUAGCCCUUGAGUAUCGGAGAGGCAAGCGGAAUUCCUAGUGUAGCGGUGAAAUGCGUAGAUAUUAGGAGGAACACCAGUGGCGAAGGCGGCUUGCUGGACGACAACUGACGCUGAGGCGCGAAAGCGUGGGGAGCAAACAGGAUUAGAUACCCUGGUA
This 434-nucleotide ribosomal RNA is filed under the name uncultured Oscillospiraceae bacterium. RNAcentral describes it as "partial 16S ribosomal RNA". It matches the Rfam family "Bacterial small subunit ribosomal RNA", at positions 341 to 792 of the family's 1533-position model. The record is from RNAcentral. Lineage: Bacteria; Bacillati; Bacillota; Clostridia; Eubacteriales; Oscillospiraceae.